GAUGAACGCUGGCGGCGUGCCUAAUACAUGCAAGUCGAGCGAACGGACGAGAAGCUUGCUUCUCUGAUGUUAGCGGCGGACGGGUGAGUAACACGUGGAUAACCUACCUAUAAGACUGGGAUAACUUCGGGAAACCGUAGCUAAUCCCGGAUAAUAUUUUGAACCGCAUGGUUCAAUAGUGAAAGACGGUCUUGCUGUCACUUAUAGAUGGAUCCGCGCUGCAUUAGCUAGUUGGUAAGUUAACGGCUUACCAAGGCAACGAUGCAUAGCCGACCUGAGAGGGUGAUCGGCCACACUGGAACUGGGACGCGGACCAGACUCCUACGGGAGGCAGCAGUAGGGAAUCUUCCGCAAUGGGCGAAAGCAUGACGGAGCAACGCCGCGUGAGUGAUGAAGGUCUUCGGAUCGUAAAACUCUGUUAUUAGGGAAGAACAUAUGUGUAAGUAACUGUGCACAUCUUGACGGUACCUAAUCAGAAAGCCACGGCUAACUACGUG
RNAcentral lists this ribosomal RNA (497 nucleotides) under uncultured bacterium. RNAcentral's name for it is "partial 16S ribosomal RNA". It matches the Rfam family "Bacterial small subunit ribosomal RNA", at positions 28 to 507 of the family's 1533-position model. The record is from RNAcentral.